GAAUUCCUGGUGUAGCGGUGAAAUGCGCAGAUAUCAGGAGGAACACCGAUGGCGAAGGCAGGUCUCUGGGCAGUAACUGACGCUGAGGAGCGAAAGCAUGGGUAGCGAACAGGAUUAGAUACCCUGGUAGUCCAUGCCGUAAACGGUGGGCGCUAGGUGUGAGUCCCUUCCACGGGGUUCGUGCCGUAGCUAACGCAUUAAGCGCCCCGCCUGGGGAGUACGGCCGCAAGGCUAAAACUCAAAGGAGUUGACGGGGGCCCGCACAAGCGGCGGAGCAUGUGGAUUAAUUCGAUGCAACGCGAAGAACCUUACCUGGGCUUGACAUACACCAGAUCG
RNAcentral lists this ribosomal RNA (336 nucleotides) under uncultured Corynebacterium sp. Its description in RNAcentral is "bacterial SSU rRNA". It matches the Rfam family "Bacterial small subunit ribosomal RNA", at positions 664 to 998 of the family's 1533-position model. Lineage: Bacteria; Bacillati; Actinomycetota; Actinomycetes; Mycobacteriales; Corynebacteriaceae. The record is from RNAcentral.